GGGAUUGCCUCAGUAACGGCGAGUGAAGCGGCAACAGCUCAAAUUUGAAAUCUGGCCCUUUCGGGGUCCGAGUUGUAAUUUGUAGAGAGUGUUUCGGGCGAGGCCGCGGUCUAAGUCAGUUGGAACAUUGUGUCAGAGAGGGUGAGAAUCCCGUAUGUGACCGCGGCUCGAGUCCAUGUGAAGCCUCUUCGACGAGUCGAGUUGUUUGGGAAUGCAGCUCAAAAUGGGUGGUAAAUUUCAUCUAAAGCUAAAUACUGGCUGGAGACCGAUAGCGCACAAGUAGAGUGAUCGAAAGAUGAAAAGCACUUUGGAAAGAGAGUUAAACAGUACGUGAAAUUGUUGAAAGGGAAGCGCUGGCAACCAGACCUGCUCGCAGGCGAUCAGCCGCUGUUCUCAGCGGUGCACUCGUUCUGCGAUCAGGCCAGCAUCGGUUUCGGCGGUCGGAUAAAGGCCCGGGAAAUGUAGCUCCCUCUCGGGGGAGUGUUAUAGCCCCGGGCGCAAUGCGGCCAGCCGGGACCGAGGACCGCGCUUCGGCUAGGAUGCUGGCGUAAUGGUUGUCAGCGACCCGUCUUGAAACACGGACCAAGGAGUUCAAUAUUUAUGCGAGUGUUUGGGUGUCAAACCCAUACGCGGAAUGAAAGUGAACGGAGGUGAGAACCCUUCCGGGGGCGCAUCAUCGACCGAUCCAGAUGUCUUCGGAUGGAUUUGAGUAUGAGCAGAAAUAUUGUGACCCGAAAGAUGGUGAACUAUGCCUAAAUAGGGUGAAGCCAGAGGAAACUCUGGUGGAGGCUCGCAGCGGUUCUGACGUGCAAAUCGAUCGUCAAAUUCGGGCAUAGGGGUCA
This 842-nucleotide ribosomal RNA is filed under the name Hypotrachyna aff. osorioi. Its description in RNAcentral is "eukaryotic LSU rRNA". It matches the Rfam family "Eukaryotic large subunit ribosomal RNA", at positions 71 to 926 of the family's 3401-position model. The record is from RNAcentral. Lineage: Eukaryota; Fungi; Ascomycota; Lecanoromycetes; Lecanorales; Parmeliaceae.